CUGCGUAGCACAGAGAGCUUGCUCUCGGGUGACGAGUGGCGGACGGGUGAGUAAUGUCUGGGAAACUGCCUGAUGGAGGGGGAUAACUACUGGAAACGGUAGCUAAUACCGCAUAACGUCGCAAGACCAAAGAGGGGGACCUUCGGGCCUCUUGCCAUCAGAUGUGCCCAGAUGGGAUUAGCUAGUAGGUGGGGUAACGGCUCACCUAGGCGACGAUCCCUAGCUGGUCUGAGAGGAUGACCAGCCACACUGGAACUGAGACACGGUCCAGACUCCUACGGGAGGCAGCAGUGGGGAAUAUUGCACAAUGGGCGCAAGCCUGAUGCAGGCCAUGCCGCGUGUAUGAAGAAGGCCUUCGGGUGGUAAAGUACUUUCAGCGGGGAGGAAGGUGUUGUGGUUAAUAACCGCAGCAAUUGACGUUACCCGCAGAAGAAGCACCGGCUAACUCCGUGCCAGCAGCCGCGGUAAUACGGAGGGGUGCAAGCGUUAAUCGGAAUUACUGGGCGUAAAGCGCACGCAGGCGGUCUGUCAAGUCGGAUGUGAAAUCCCCGGGCUCAACCUGGGAACUGCAUUCGAAACUGGCAGGCUAGAGUCUUGUAGAGGGGGGUAGAAUUCCAGGUGUAGCGGUGAAAUGCGUAGAGAUCUGGAGGAAUACCGGUGGCGAAGGCGGCCCCCUGGACAAAGACUGACGCUCAGGUGCGAAAGCGUGGGGGAGCAAACAGGAUUAGAUACCCUGGUAGUCCACGCCGUAAACGAUGUCGAUUUGGAAGGUUGUGCCCCUUGAGGCGUGGACUUCCCGGAGCUAACCGCGUUAAAAUCCAACCGCCCUGGGGGAGUUACGGCCCGCAAGGGUUAAAAACUCCAAAUGGAAUUUGACGGGGGGCCCCCCCACAAGCCGAGUGGAACCAUGUGGGUUUUAAUUUCCGAUGUCAAGCGCCGAAAUGAACCCUUUACCCUGGGUCUUUGAACAUCCACAGAACUUUCCAGAGAUGGAUUGGUGCCUUCGGGAACUGUGAGACAGGUGCUGCAUGGCUGUCGUCAGCUCGUGUUGUGAAAUGUUGGGUUAAGUCCCGCAACGAGCGCAACCCUUAUCCUUUGUUGCCAGCGGUUAGGCCGGGAACUCAAAGGAGACUGCCAGUGAUAAACUGGAGGAAGGUGGGGAUGACGUCAAGUCAUCAUGGCCCUUACGACCAGGGCUACACACGUGCUACAAUGGCGCAUACAAAGAGAAGCGACCUCGCGAGAGCAAGCGGACCUCAUAAAGUGCGUCGUAGUCCGGAUUGGAGUCUGCAACUCGACUCCAUGAAGUCGGAAUCGCUAGUAAUCGUAGAUCAGAAUGCUACGGUGAAUACGUUCCCGGGCCUUGUACACACCGCCCGUCACACCAUGGGAGUGGGUUGCAAAAGAAGUAGGUAGCUUAACCUUCGGGAGGGCGCUACCA
This 1441-nucleotide ribosomal RNA is filed under the name Enterobacter cloacae. Its description in RNAcentral is "bacterial SSU rRNA". It matches the Rfam family "Bacterial small subunit ribosomal RNA". Lineage: Bacteria; Pseudomonadati; Pseudomonadota; Gammaproteobacteria; Enterobacterales; Enterobacteriaceae. The record is from RNAcentral.